Molecule: long non-coding RNA, 963 nt
Organism: Gorilla gorilla gorilla (western lowland gorilla)
Lineage: Eukaryota; Metazoa; Chordata; Mammalia; Primates; Hominidae
Exons: 4
Source: RefSeq, a predicted model, not a curated record
UAACUGGGACACAGGCUUUCUUCUUGCUUUCACACUCCAACUGAUACAUCAGUUCUUUCCAAGUCUCUAGUCUGCUGGCCUUUGGACUAGAGCUUUACCGUAGACUCUCCUGGUUCUCAGGCCUUCUGACUGAGAUUGGAACUAAACCAUCAGCUCAUCUGGGCCUCCAGCUUGCUGACCUGCCCUCCAGUUCUUCAUAAUUCCAUGAGGUUAUAACAAUGAGAACCAAAGAGUGGUUUACUUCUGGUUUCCUAUUUAAUUUUCGAUACGGUGAAGGCAGAGACUGUUGCUCUCUUUAAAGUUAUCCAUGGGACAUGCUAGAAAGGUUUGUGGAAACUAAGCUAAUAAUCACCCUUCUGGAAGAGGUUAAUUUUGGUCUUAAAAACAAGAAGUAAGUAUGCAUCACACAUUGAAGGAAAGCUGUAGCUUAGUAUAUGCAUUAAAACAAUGUAAACUAAAAGCCAAAUUAUUUUACUCCUCUGAAAAUUCAGACAAUCUGGAGUUUCAAAAACGUUUUUAUUUGAUUGUCUUGAUCUAUAUGAUCAUUUCACACAUCAGUAAGUGAUGCUUUCAUUUUUUUAAAGUAGCAUAACUAUCCGAAACCUGGAAAAUUUCAGUAACACUAAAAAUAAACCAGUUAAAUAAACAUAGGGACAUUUUCAAAGAUAGUUUGGGACAUAAAUACUUUAAAAAUCUACCCCACCUGCAACUGUGAAGUAUUGAUUCUGAGGCUUUUCAGAGUUAUGCACUAUACAGUUCAUACUGUAAUAUGAAUUAAAGGGGCUAGGAGAAUAAUGGCACUAGUUUUUUUAUAAGCUGAUUUUUAUGAUAUUAAUAUAAUUUCUUAGAAAACCUUCAACUCAACUGCAUAAGUUCCUAGACAUUAAAUGCAAUUUUUUUCAACUAUCAAAUUACAGACCAUGUAUUUGUAAAAUCUAAAAAGGAAUAAACUUUUGUGUGUUA